Molecule: ribosomal RNA, 254 nt
Filed under: uncultured bacterium
Lineage: Bacteria
Description: partial 16S ribosomal RNA
Rfam family: Bacterial small subunit ribosomal RNA
Source: RNAcentral
UACGUAGGGUGCGAGCGUUGUCCGGAAUUAUUGGGCGUAAAGAGCUCGUAGGCGGUCUGUCGCGUCGGUCGUGAAAACUUGGGGCUUAACCCUGAGCUUGCGGUCGAUACGGGCAUGACUGGAGUUCGGUAGGGGAGACUGGAAUUCCUGGUGUAGCGGUGAAAUGCGUAGAUAUCGAGAGGAACACCAGUGGCGAAGGCGAGUCUCUGGACGACUCCUGACACUGAGGCACGAAAGCUGGGGGAGCAAACAGG